This 2922-nucleotide ribosomal RNA is filed under the name Klebsiella quasipneumoniae. Its description in RNAcentral is "23S ribosomal RNA". It matches the Rfam family "Bacterial large subunit ribosomal RNA". The record is from RNAcentral. Lineage: Bacteria; Pseudomonadati; Pseudomonadota; Gammaproteobacteria; Enterobacterales; Enterobacteriaceae.
GGGUUGUGAGGUUAAGCGACUAAGCGUACACGGUGGAUGCCCUGGCAGUCAGAGGCGAUGAAGGACGUGCUAAUCUGCGAAAAGCGUCGGUAAGGUGAUAUGAACCGUUAUAACCGGCGAUGUCCGAAUGGGGAAACCCAGUGCAAUUCGUUGCACUAUCGUUAACUGAAUACAUAGGUUAACGAGGCGAACCGGGGGAACUGAAACAUCUAAGUACCCCGAGGAAAAGAAAUCAACCGAGAUUCCCCCAGUAGCGGCGAGCGAACGGGGAGCAGCCCAGAGUCUGAAUCAGCUUGUGUGUUAGUGGAACGGUCUGGAAAGUCCGACGGUACAGGGUGAUAGUCCCGUACACCAAAAUGCACAGGCUGUGAACUCGAAGAGUAGGGCGGGACACGUGGUAUCCUGUCUGAAUAUGGGGGGACCAUCCUCCAAGGCUAAAUACUCCUGACUGACCGAUAGUGAACCAGUACCGUGAGGGAAAGGCGAAAAGAACCCCGGCGAGGGGAGUGAAAAAGAACCUGAAACCGUGUACGUACAAGCAGUGGGAGCNNNNNNNNGUGACUGCGUACCUUUUGUAUAAUGGGUCAGCGACUUAUAUUCUGUAGCAAGGUUAACCGUAUAGGGGAGCCGCAGGGAAACCGAGUCUUAACUGGGCGUUAAGUUGCAGGGUAUAGACCCGAAACCCGGUGAUCUAGCCAUGGGCAGGUUGAAGGUUGGGUAACACUAACUGGAGGACCGAACCGACUAAUGUUGAAAAAUUAGCGGAUGACUUGUGGCUGGGGGUGAAAGGCCAAUCAAACCGGGAGAUAGCUGGUUCUCCCCGAAAGCUAUUUAGGUAGCGCCUCGUGAACUCAUCUUCGGGGGUAGAGCACUGUUUCGGCUAGGGGGUCAUCCCGACUUACCAACCCGAUGCAAACUACGAAUACCGAAGAAUGUUAUCACGGGAGACACACGGCGGGUGCUAACGUCCGUCGUGAAGAGGGAAACAACCCAGACCGCCAGCUAAGGUCCCAAAGUCAUGGUUAAGUGGGAAACGAUGUGGGAAGGCACAGACAGCCAGGAUGUUGGCUUAGAAGCAGCCAUCAUUUAAAGAAAGCGUAAUAGCUCACUGGUCGAGUCGGCCUGCGCGGAAGAUGUAACGGGGCUAAACCAUGCACCGAAGCUGCGGCAGCGACGCUUAUGCGUUGUUGGGUAGGGGAGCGUUCUGUAAGCCUGCGAAGGUGACCUGUGAGGGUUGCUGGAGGUAUCAGAAGUGCGAAUGCUGACAUAAGUAACGAUAAAGCGGGUGAAAAGCCCGCUCGCCGGAAGACCAAGGGUUCCUGUCCAACGUUAAUCGGGGCAGGGUGAGUCGACCCCUAAGGCGAGGCCGAAAGGCGUAGUCGAUGGGAAACAGGUUAAUAUUCCUGUACUUGGUGUUACUGCGAAGGGGGGACGGAGAAGGCUAUGUUAGCCGGGCGACGGUUGUCCCGGUUUAAGCAUGUAGGCUGGUUAUCCAGGCAAAUCCGGAUAAUCAAGGCUGAGGUGUGAUGACGAGGCACUACGGUGCUGAAGUAACAAAUGCCCUGCUUCCAGGAAAAGCCUCUAAGCAUCAGGUAACACGAAAUCGUACCCCAAACCGACACAGGUGGUCAGGUAGAGAAUACCAAGGCGCUUGAGAGAACUCGGGUGAAGGAACUAGGCAAAAUGGUGCCGUAACUUCGGGAGAAGGCACGCUGGUGUGUAGGUGAAGUCCCUGCGGAUGGAGCUGAGACCAGUCGAAGAUACCAGCUGGCUGCAACUGUUUAUUAAAAACACAGCACUGUGCAAACACGAAAGUGGACGUAUACGGUGUGACGCCUGCCCGGUGCCGGAAGGUUAAUUGAUGGGGUUAUCCGUAAGGAGAAGCUCUUGAUCGAAGCCCCGGUAAACGGCGGCCGUAACUAUAACGGUCCUAAGGUAGCGAAAUUCCUUGUCGGGUAAGUUCCGACCUGCACGAAUGGCGUAAUGAUGGCCAGGCUGUCUCCACCCGAGACUCAGUGAAAUUGAACUCGCUGUGAAGAUGCAGUGUACCCGCGGCAAGACGGAAAGACCCCGUGAACCUUUACUAUAGCUUGACACUGAACAUUGAGCCUUGAUGUGUAGGAUAGGUGGGAGGCUUUGAAGCGUGGACGCCAGUCUGCGUGGAGCCAACCUUGAAAUACCACCCUUUAAUGUUUGAUGUUCUAACGUUGGCCCCUUAUCGGGGUUGCGGACAGUGUCUGGUGGGUAGUUUGACUGGGGCGGUCUCCUCCCAAAGCGUAACGGAGGAGCACGAAGGUUAGCUAAUCCUGGUCGGACAUCAGGAGGUUAGUGCAAUGGCAUAAGCUAGCUUGACUGCGAGCGUGACGGCGCGAGCAGGUGCGAAAGCAGGUCAUAGUGAUCCGGUGGUUCUGAAUGGAAGGGCCAUCGCUCAACGGAUAAAAGGUACUCCGGGGAUAACAGGCUGAUACCGCCCAAGAGUUCAUAUCGACGGCGGUGUUUGGCACCUCGAUGUCGGCUCAUCACAUCCUGGGGCUGAAGUAGGUCCCAAGGGUAUGGCUGUUCGCCAUUUAAAGUGGUACGCGAGCUGGGUUUAGAACGUCGUGAGACAGUUCGGUCCCUAUCUGCCGUGGGCGCUGGAGAAUUGAGGGGGGCUGCUCCUAGUACGAGAGGACCGGAGUGGACGCAUCACUGGUGUUCGGGUUGUCAUGCCAAUGGCACUGCCCGGUAGCUAAAUGCGGAAGAGAUAAGUGCUGAAAGCAUCUAAGCACGAAACUUGCCCCGAGAUGAGUUCUCCCUGAGACUUUAAGUCUCCUGAAGGAACGUUGAAGACGACGACGUUGAUAGGCCGGGUGUGUAAGCGCAGCGAUGCGUUGAGCUAACCGGUACUAAUGAACCGUGAGGCUUAACCUUACAACGCCGAAG